Molecule: ribosomal RNA, 253 nt
Filed under: uncultured bacterium
Lineage: Bacteria
Description: partial 16S ribosomal RNA
Rfam family: Bacterial small subunit ribosomal RNA
Source: RNAcentral
UACAGAGGGUGCAAGCGUUAAUCGGAAUUACUGGGCGUAAAGCGUGCGCAGGCGGUUAUGCAAGACAGAUGUGAAAUCCCCGGGCUCAACCUGGGAACUGCAUUUGUGACUGCAUGGCUAGAGUACGGUAGAGGGGGGUGGAAUUCCGCGUGUAGCAGUGAAAUGCGUAGAUAUGCGGAGGAACACCGAUGGCGAAGGCAAUCCCCUGGGCCUGCACUGACGCUCAUGCACGAAAGCGUGGGGAGCAAACAGG